ACGGCGAGUGAAGCGGCAACAGCUCAAAUUUGAAAUCUGGCCCCCAGGGUCCGAGUUGUAAUUUGCAGAGGAUGAUUUUGGCGAGGUGCCUUCCGAGUUCCCUGGAACGGGACGCCACAGAGGGUGAGAGCCCCGUCUGGUUGGACGCCGAGCCUAUGUAAAUCUCCUUCGACGAGUCGAGUAGUUUGGGAAUGCUGCUCUAAAUGGGAGGUAUAUGUCUUCUAAAGCUAAAUAUUGGCCAGAGACCGAUAGCGCACAAGUAGAGUGAUCGAAAGAUGAAAAGCACUUUGAAAAGAGGGUUAAAUAGUACGUGAAAUUGUUGAAAGGGAAGCGCUCAUGACCAGACUUGGGCCCGGUGAAUCAUCCAGCGUUCUCGCUGGUGCACUUUGCCGGGCACAGGCCAGCAUCAGUUUGCCCUGGGGGAUAAAGGCUUUGGGAAUGUGGCUCCUCCGGGAGUGUUAUAGCCCAUUGCAUAAUAUCCUGGGGCGGACUGAGGUUCGCGCAUC
RNAcentral lists this ribosomal RNA (506 nucleotides) under Metapochonia bulbillosa. Its description in RNAcentral is "eukaryotic LSU rRNA". It matches the Rfam family "Eukaryotic large subunit ribosomal RNA", at positions 86 to 601 of the family's 3401-position model. The record is from RNAcentral. Lineage: Eukaryota; Fungi; Ascomycota; Sordariomycetes; Hypocreales; Clavicipitaceae.